RNAcentral lists this ribosomal RNA (511 nucleotides) under uncultured bacterium. Its description in RNAcentral is "bacterial SSU rRNA". It matches the Rfam family "Bacterial small subunit ribosomal RNA", at positions 350 to 861 of the family's 1533-position model. The record is from RNAcentral.
AGCAGUGAGGAAUAUUGGGCAAUGCCCGAAAGGGUGACCCAGCAACGCCGCGUGGAGGAUGAAGUCCUUCUGGAUGUAAACUCCUUUUAGAGGGGACGAAAAGCCCGUUAAGACGGGAAUUGACGGUACCCUCAGAAAAAGCACCGGCUAACUACGUGCCAGCAGCCGCGGUAAUACGUAGGGUGCAAGCGUUGUCCGGAUUCACUGGGUGUAAAGGGUGCGCAGGCGGGCUCUUAAGUCAAAGGUGAAAUCUCACGGCUUAACCGUGAAAUUGCCUUUGAUACUGAGAGUCUUGAGUACGGGAGAGGGAGAUGGAAUUCCAGGUGUAGCGGUGAAAUGCGUAGAUAUCUGGAGGAACACCGGAGGCGAAGGCGGUCUCCUGGCCCGUUACUGACGCUCAUGCACGAAAGCGUGGGGAGCAAACAGGAUUAGAUACCCUGGUAGUCCACGCCCUAAACGAUGGGUACUAGAUGUCGGUCCCGAAAGGGGUCGGUGUCGAAGCUAACGCAUA